AACAACUAAUAAUUCGACAGUUGGAAUGAAAGCCGUCAUGUUGGCUGAAACAACUGGUUUGAUACUCCUGCAUGCGUUUGAGUGUAACAGCACUCAAGGGUAUGAAGCCAGGUAAAGUCGGCAGAACUGCUCCUAAGUGAAGUAGCUAAUUCAUACGGAAAAGGAUAUGCCGGAACGCCAUAAA
RNAcentral lists this non-coding RNA (184 nucleotides) under Streptococcus canis. The record is from RNAcentral. Lineage: Bacteria; Bacillati; Bacillota; Bacilli; Lactobacillales; Streptococcaceae.